AGUGAACGCUGGCGGUAGGCCUAACACAUGCAAGUCGAACGGCAGCACAGUAAGAGCUUGCUCUUACGGGUGGCGAGUGGCGGACGGGUGAGGAAUACAUCGGAAUCUACUUUUUCGUGGGGGAUAACGUAGGGAAACUUACGCUAAUACCGCAUACGACCUACGGGUGAAAGCAGGGGAUCUUCGGACCUUGCGCGAUUGAAUGAGCCGAUGUCGGAUUAGCUAGUUGGCGGGGUAAAGGCCCACCAAGGCGACGAUCCGUAGCUGGUCUGAGAGGAUGAUAAGCAACACUGGAAAUGAGAAACGGUCCAGACUCCUACGGGAGGCAGAAGUGGGGAAUAUGGACAAUGGGCGCAAGCCUGAUCCAGCCAUACCGCGUGGGUGAAGAAGGCCUUCGGGUUGUAAAGCCCCUUUGUUGGGAAAGAAAAGCAGCAGGUUAAUACCCCGCUGUUCUGACGGUACCCAAAGAAUAAGCACCGGCUAACUUCGUG
Molecule: ribosomal RNA, 491 nt
Filed under: uncultured bacterium
Lineage: Bacteria
Description: partial 16S ribosomal RNA
Rfam family: Bacterial small subunit ribosomal RNA
Source: RNAcentral